This 433-nucleotide ribosomal RNA is filed under the name uncultured bacterium. RNAcentral's name for it is "partial 16S ribosomal RNA". It matches the Rfam family "Bacterial small subunit ribosomal RNA", at positions 29 to 507 of the family's 1533-position model. The record is from RNAcentral.
AACGAACGCUGGCGGCAGGCUUAACACAUGCAAGACGAACGGAUCCUUCGGGAUUAGUGGCAGACGGGUGAGUAACGCGUGGGAACGUACCCUUUGCUACGGAAUAACUCAGGGAAACUUGAGCUAAUACCGUAUGUGCCCUACGGGGGAAAGAUUUAUCGGCAAAGGAUCGGCCCGCGUUGGAUUAGCUAGUUGGUGGGGUAAUGGCCUACCAAGGCGACGAUCCAUAGCUGGUCUGAGAGGAUGAUCAGCCACACUGGGACUGAGACACGGCCCAGACUCCUACGGGAGGCAGCAGUGGGGAAUAUUGGACAAUGGGCGCAAGCCUGAUCCAGCCAUGCCGCGUGAGUGAUGAAGGUCUUAGGAUUGUAAAGCUCUUUCACCGGUGGAGAUAAUGACGGUAGCCGGAGAAGAAGCCCCGGCUAACUUCGUG